This 745-nucleotide ribosomal RNA is filed under the name uncultured bacterium. RNAcentral's name for it is "bacterial SSU rRNA". It matches the Rfam family "Bacterial small subunit ribosomal RNA", at positions 33 to 773 of the family's 1533-position model. The record is from RNAcentral.
ACGCUGGCGGCAGGCCUAACACAUGCAAGUCGAGCGGUAGAGAGAAGCUUGCUUCUCUUGAGAGCGGCGGACGGGUGAGUAAUGCCUAGGAAUCUGCCUGGUAGUGGGGGAUAACGUUCGGAAACGGACGCUAAUACCGCAUACGUCCUACGGGAGAAAGCAGGGGACCUUCGGGCCUUGCGCUAUCAGAUGAGCCUAGGUCGGAUUAGCUAGUUGGUGAGGUAAUGGCUCACCAAGGCGACGAUCCGUAACUGGUCUGAGAGGAUGAUCAGUCACACUGGAACUGAGACACGGUCCAGACUCCUACGGGAGGCAGCAGUGGGGAAUAUUGGACAAUGGGCGAAAGCCUGAUCCAGCCAUGCCGCGUGUGUGAAGAAGGUCUUCGGAUUGUAAAGCACUUUAAGUUGGGAGGAAGGGCAUUAACCUAAUACGUUAGUGUUUUGACGUUACCGACAGAAUAAGCACCGGCUAACUCUGUGCCAGCAGCCGCGGUAAUACAGAGGGUGCAAGCGUUAAUCGGAAUUACUGGGCGUAAAGCGCGCGUAGGUGGUUUGUUAAGUUGGAUGUGAAAUCCCCGGGCUCAACCUGGGAACUGCAUUCAAAACUGACUGACUAGAGUAUGGUAGAGGGUGGUGGAAUUUCCUGUGUAGCGGUGAAAUGCGUAGAUAUAGGAAGGAACACCGGUGGCGAAGGCGACCACCUGGACUAAUACUGACACUGAGGUGCGAAAGCGUGGGGAGCAAAC